This is a long non-coding RNA of Vigna unguiculata (cowpea), 695 nucleotides long. RefSeq lists it as uncharacterized. The record is from RefSeq and is a predicted model, not a curated record. Lineage: Eukaryota; Viridiplantae; Streptophyta; Magnoliopsida; Fabales; Fabaceae.
GAAAGAGGUAACGUAAGGUCUCUCUGUUAUCAGACCCAUGCUUGCUGGUUUUGUAUUGGGAAUGACCUGUAACAUGGUCAUGAUGGCUGAAGGAGCAGGAAGCAACAUCUACUCUCAGCCUUAUCCCAAAUUUCGAGAUUGGAAGGUAUAGAUAAUAACAUAAUAAAAAGGGGAAGAUUCAUGAUAGGAGGGUUCUAUUUUUUUUACUACAGAGGGAGAAGGCACUAGAACUCAGAGGGCAAGAGAAAUCGGUGACGACAAAAGGAACAUCAUUGAGAAGAAACUGCCGGGGGUAUUAGAAAGGAUCCACUAAAGGUACACUUUGGAACACUUAGAUGCAAAAUUCUGAGUUCUAUCCAAGAACUCUGAUGCACCACUUGACAGCAAGUAGGUACCGCUAGGCGAUGCGUGGAGCGCAACAAGGUGUGAAUUUUGUGUUGGUGUUGCGUGAUGGGAUGGGAAUAGAUGGAAUGUGUUAGGUGUUGUUUGAGGAGCAUAUGUGAUUCUAGGCGAGGAUGGCGAUGCGUAGAGAUGGAGCAGGGAUAACUAUCGAGAUUUUAUUUUAGAAAUUGUUCUUGGUUAUCUUGGAAUUUCCUUUUAUUUGGGCUUUGGAUUAUGGAUUGUAAUAAAGUAUUUAUGAAGUAUUGUUAUGUUACCACUAUUAAAGUUUUAAAUUUUCCCGCACUUAGGAAUAA